This 299-nucleotide ribosomal RNA is filed under the name uncultured soil bacterium. RNAcentral describes it as "partial 16S ribosomal RNA". It matches the Rfam family "Bacterial small subunit ribosomal RNA", at positions 66 to 359 of the family's 1533-position model. The record is from RNAcentral.
ACGGAGUUUAGUAGCAAUACUGAAUUCAGUGGCGGACGGGUGCGUAACACGUGAACAAUCUGCCCGGAAGAGGGGGAUAGCCCAGGGAAACUUGGAUUAAUACCCCGUACGGUAUAGGUGGGCAUCCACUUAACACCAAAGGUGCUGAAAGGUGCCGCUUCCGGAUGAGUUCGCGUCCUAUCAGCUUGUUGGCGGGGUAACGGCCCACCAAGGCAAUGACGGGUAGCUGGUCUGAGAGGAUGACCAGCCACACUGGAGCUGAGACACGGUCCAGACACCUACGGGUGGCAGCAGUCGAG